Long non-coding RNA from Aethina tumida (small hive beetle), 665 nucleotides. RefSeq lists it as uncharacterized. NCBI's taxonomy places the organism in Eukaryota, Metazoa, Arthropoda, Insecta, Coleoptera, Nitidulidae. The record is from RefSeq and is a predicted model, not a curated record. The transcript is spliced from 2 exons.
UGGAGGGGAAAAAUACGUUCGUUUUUGGUUAGAAUCACUCCUCAGGAUGGAUCCACCUUGUCGUGAUCCUGCGACUGAGUAACACUCCACAAGCAAGUGACGGUGAGAAGUUCACGAAUCCAAUCCAAGCAUAAAGCUUUCCGAAUCUUCCUGAUACCUAUAUAGGUAUGAGUUUCUUCAUAUAUACCACCUAUUGGUUGUGACUCAUCGAAGUCGAUUCUAUGAAGGAGGGUAAAAAUACAUGUAGUCCUACAUCAGGUAGAGGUACCGGGGUAGAGUUAGUUACAGUUGUGUUUUCUGGAUUUGGCAUGGGCCCCCUGGUUAAAUUAUCGUGACUUCUGGAGAGUCAUAUGUUUCCAUUUACCGAAGAUAGUAUAAGUUAGUUAAAGAAUGAUUCGCUUCUCAAGGAGUAUGUGUAAUGACUUGGCCAACAGAUAGCGCAGACCUCAAUUCAAUUGAAAACAUUUGGGAUGAAAUUGAUCAGAAAAUCAAUGUAAAAAAAUUGUCAAAUUUGAAUGAACUCUACCAAGAAGUUCAAAAUCAGUGGAAAGAAAUAUCUAACGAUUAUAUUUAAAUGCUACUGAAAUCAAUGAAAAAAUGUUUAGAAGUUGAAAAUGAUGGAUAUGUUAUUAGAUAUUAAAUAAAGGAAGGCUAAAUGUACGUUA